CCUACGGGUGGCAGCAGUGGGGAAUAUUGCACAAUGGGCGCAAGCCUGAUGCAGCAACGCCGCGUGAGGGAUGACGGCCUUCGGGUUGAAACCUCUUUUAGCAGGGAAGCGGUACCUGCAGAAAAAGCGCCGGCUAACUACGUGCCAGCAGCCGCGGUAAUACGUAGGGCGCAAGCGUUAUCCGGAAUUAUUGGGCGUAAAGAGCUCGUAGGCGGUUUGUCGCGUCUGCUGUGAAAUCCGGAGGCUCAACCUCCGGCCUGCAGUGGGUACGGGCAGACUAGAGUGCGGUAGGGGAGAUUGGAAUUCCUGGUGUAGCGGUGGAAUGCGCAGAUAUCAGGAGGAACACCGAUGGCGAAGGCAGAUCUCUGGGCCGUACUGACGCUGAGGAGCGAAAGGGUGGGGAGCAAACAGGAUUAGAUACCCGUGUAGUC
This 431-nucleotide ribosomal RNA is filed under the name uncultured bacterium. RNAcentral describes it as "partial 16S ribosomal RNA". It matches the Rfam family "Bacterial small subunit ribosomal RNA", at positions 338 to 795 of the family's 1533-position model. The record is from RNAcentral.